UUUGGGUUUAACAUCCACAAGGGACUGGCUGGACAUCCCUCCACCUUUGGUAAUCCGGGGGAACGUAACGAGUCUUCCUUUCUCUCCCAGUCUUCAUCAUCAAGCACCAAGAGUUUGCAUCGUUACAAUCUUCCUCCUCGGCGGCGGCGAGCACUCCCACCGGGGCUUCUGGGUAGCCAUCGGCGAGGGGGGGUCAACGAGGCAAACGGAGCGGUGGUGGAGCAGUCCGGUUCGGUCGGGUCUGACCCGGAUCAAAGAGAGGGAAGCUGUUCCCUGAUGGUUCACCUGCUUUAACCGUGAUGGAGGCAGAUCUGCUUAUUCGUUCCUGACGGGGAAAUCAAAGACGUGCAGCGAUACGUGCCGUACCGGAAGGGGUUUGUCUUGAGUAUUUUACAGAGGACACUGGAUAGUGGGUGUUGGUGUGAUCUGAACCAAAGAGAAGAAAAGGAGCCGCUUUAUUAUUCAGAAGCUAAAUUAAUGCGCUGUGAGAGCGGAGCUGCAGCGCUGCGAGCUGAGGGUCAAAUACAUGCAAAUAUUAGCAUGUUGGGAUGCUCUUUAAACACUCCACCGUGCACGUGUGUGUGUGUGUUACGUAACGGGUGUGUUUGGAUUUAAUUAGCUCCCUACUUACAGUCUGAUAUUGGCUAAUGAAGCAGCAGAGUGUCCGUCGGUGAUGAAUGGGAGGCGUCAUCUUAAAACAUGAUAAAUCGGACUCGGCCCCUCUGGACAUCAAAAAACAC
Long non-coding RNA from Gasterosteus aculeatus aculeatus (three-spined stickleback), 740 nucleotides. NCBI's taxonomy places the organism in Eukaryota, Metazoa, Chordata, Actinopteri, Perciformes, Gasterosteidae. The record is from Ensembl.